AUUGAACGCUGGCGGCAGGCUUAACACAUGCAAGUCGAGCGGUAGCACAGGGGAGCUUGCUCCCUGGGUGACGAGCGGCGGACGGGUGAGUAAUGUCUGGGAAACUGCCUGAUGGAGGGGGAUAACUACUGGAAACGGUAGCUAAUACCGCAUAACGUCGCAAGACCAAAGAGGGGGACCUUCGGGCCUCUUGCCAUCAGAUGUGCCCAGAUGGGAUUAGCUAGUAGGUGGGGUAAUGGCUCACCUAGGCGACGAUCCCUAGCUGGUCUGAGAGGAUGACCCGCCAAACUGGAACUGAGGCACGGUCCCGACUCCUACGGGAGGCAGCAGUGGGGAAUUUUGCACAAUGGGGGGAAGCCUGAUGGAGCCAUGGCGCGGGUGUGAAGAAGGCCCUCGGGUUGUAAAGCACUUUCAGCGAGGAGGAAGGUGGUGAGCUUAAUACGUUCAUCAAUUGACGUUACUCGCAGAAGAAGCACCGGCUAACUCCGUG
RNAcentral lists this ribosomal RNA (490 nucleotides) under uncultured bacterium. RNAcentral describes it as "partial 16S ribosomal RNA". It matches the Rfam family "Bacterial small subunit ribosomal RNA", at positions 30 to 507 of the family's 1533-position model. The record is from RNAcentral.